AGAACGAACGCUGGCGGCAUGCCUAACACAUGCAAGUCGAACGCUCACCGGGCUUCGGUUCGGUGGGAGUGGCGCACGGGUGAGUAGCGCGUGGGAACCUGCCCUGUUGUGGGGGAUAACCGAGGGAAACUUCGGCUAAUACCGCAUGCGCCCGGGGAAACCCGGGGAAAGAUUUAUCGCAGCAGGAGGGGCCCGCGUCGGAUUAGGUAGUUGGUGGGGUAACGGCCCACCAAGCCGAUGAUCCGUAGCUGGUCUGAGAGGAUGAUCAGCCACACUGGGACUGAGACACGGCCCAGACUCCUACGGGAGGCAGCAGUGGGGAAUAUUGGACAAUGGGGGCAACCCUGAUCCAGCAAUGCCGCGUGAGUGAUGAAGGCCUUAGGGUUGUAAAGCUCUUUCGCCCGCGACGAUGAUGACGGUAGCGGGAGAAGAGCCCGGCUAACUUCGUGCCAGCAGCCGC
Molecule: ribosomal RNA, 460 nt
Filed under: uncultured bacterium
Lineage: Bacteria
Description: SSU rRNA
Rfam family: Bacterial small subunit ribosomal RNA
Source: RNAcentral